GGGCCCGCACAAGCGGUGGAGUAUGUGGUUUAAUUCGAUGCAACGCGAAGAACCUUACCAGGGUUUGACAUCCUGCGAAUCUCUUGGAAACGAGAGAGUGCCUUCGGGAACGCAGUGACAGGUGGUGCAUGGCUGUCGUCAGCUCGUGUCGUGAGAUGUUGGGUUAAGUCCCGCAACGAGCGCAACCCUCAUCUUUAGUUGCCAUCGGUUAGGCCGGGCACUCUAGAGAAACUGCCUGCGAUGAGCAGGAGGAAGGCGGGGAUGACGUCAAGUCCUCAUGGCCCUUAUGGACUGGGCUACACACGUGCUACAAUGGCGGUGACAACGGGCAGCGAAGGGGUGACCUGGAG
Molecule: ribosomal RNA, 350 nt
Filed under: uncultured bacterium
Lineage: Bacteria
Description: bacterial SSU rRNA
Rfam family: Bacterial small subunit ribosomal RNA
Source: RNAcentral